Molecule: long non-coding RNA, 492 nt
Organism: Salvia miltiorrhiza (redroot sage)
Lineage: Eukaryota; Viridiplantae; Streptophyta; Magnoliopsida; Lamiales; Lamiaceae
Exons: 2
Source: RefSeq, a predicted model, not a curated record
UUCACUUUAUACAGCUGUAACAGCUGGCUCUUUACAAUUCAGCUCCAAAAUUGGCGCCCAAACUUCAAUUUAAAAUUUAAAAACAAUCAAUCUUGGAGCCAAUUUGCUGAUCUUGAUGCCUAUAAAUAUCAGAUUAUUUCAGCCAAUAUUUUCAAAAUGCAAACUUUCUCUCUCUAAUAUUUGUAAUUCUAAUUCUUUUGUAUGUUUUUAUGUGAUCAAGAUUGGAGCAUAGAAUCCGCAAACGCCAAUGGAGCACAGAAUCUGUAAAAGCCACCAAAAAAAAAAGGUUUAGUGAGAAUAUUCAAGAUUUUCAGCAAGUUGGCAUGAAGAAGAAGAAAUUUCAUAUCACCCAUAAAAGAGUUCCCUGAUGUUAAUGAAUGAUACAUUUCGAUAGGUUUCAAAACCAAGAUUAUAUUUGUAUAUUUAUAAUCUACAUUGGAAAUUUUGAUGGAGGACAAAGAAAUACAAGCAUGUGGAUAUAUUUCAUUUUCA